RNAcentral lists this ribosomal RNA (658 nucleotides) under Yucatan papaya phytoplasma. RNAcentral describes it as "bacterial SSU rRNA". It matches the Rfam family "Bacterial small subunit ribosomal RNA", at positions 664 to 1325 of the family's 1533-position model. The record is from RNAcentral. Lineage: Bacteria; Bacillati; Mycoplasmatota; Mollicutes; Acholeplasmatales; Acholeplasmataceae.
GAAUUCCAUGUGUANGUGGUAAAAAUGNGUAAAUAUAUGGAGGAACACCAGUAGCGAAGGCGGCUUGUUGNGUCUUUACUGACGCUGAGGCANGAAAGCGUGGGGAGCAAACAGGAUUAGAUACCCUGGUAGUCCACGCCGUAAACGAUGAGUUACUAAACNGUUGGGUAAAACCAGUGUUGAAGUUAACACAUUAAAGUACUCCGCCUGAGUAGUACGUACGCAAGUAUGAAACUUAAAGGAAUUGACGGGACUCCGCACAAGCGGUGGAUCAUGUUGUUUAAUUCGAAGGUACCCGAAAAACCUCACCAGGUCUUGACAUGNUUCUGCAAAGCUGUAGAAACACAGUGGAGGUUAUCAGUUGCACAGGUGGUGCAUGGUUGUCGUCAGCUCGUGUCGUGAGAUGUUGGGUUAAGUCCCGCAACGAGCGCAACCCUUAUUGUUAGUUACCAGCACGUAAUGGUGGGGACUUUAGCAAGACUGCCAGUGAUAAAUUGGAGGAAGGUGGGGACGACGUCAAAUCAUCAUGCCCCUUAUGACCUGGGCUACAAACGUGAUACAAUGGCUGUUACAAAGGGUAGCUGAAGCGCAAGUUUUUGGCGAAUCUCAAAAAAACAGUCUCAGNCCGGAUUGAAGUCUGCAACUCGACUUCAUGAAG